UGAAUACGAGACGCAAGGCGUCGAAGUAGUGUAUGUCAUACUUCCAAGAAAAGCUUGCACUGUCAUAGAUAAAAAACGCCUGUACCAUAACCGACACAGGUGGGUAGGUAGAGUAUACUAAGGGGCGCGAGAUAACUCUCUCUAAGGAACUCGGCAAAAUAACUCCGUAACUUCGGGAGAAGGAGUGCCUUAUUCGUAAGGUUGCAAUAACAAGAUCCAAGCAACUGUUUAUCAAAAACACAGGUCUCCGCUAAGUCGUAAGACGAUGUAUGGGGGCUGACGCCUGCCCAGUGCCAGAAGGUUAAAGAAGUUGGUUAGCAAUUGCGAAGCUGAUAACUGAAGCCCUGGUGAACGGCGGCCGUAACAAUAACGGUCCUAAGGUAGCGAAAUUCCUUGUCGGGUAAGUUCCGACCCGCACGAAAGGCGUAAUGAUUUGGAUACUGUCUCGGAGAGGGGCUCGGUGAAAUAGACUUGUCUGUGAAGAUGCGGACUACCUGCACCAGGACAGAAAGACCCUAUGAAGCUUUACUGUAACUUGAAAUUGAAAUUGGACUUUAUUCGCGCAGUAUAGGUGGCAGGCGUUGAUUAUAAUCUUGUGGGAUUAUUGGAGCCAUCAGUGAGAUACCACUCUUGUAAUGUUAGAUUUCUAACUUUGAAUCAUUAUCUGGUCAAAGAACAGUUUCAGGCGGGCAGUUUGACUGGGGCGGUCGCCUCCUAAACGGUAACGGAGGCGUACAAAGGUUUCCUCUGAACGGUUAGAAAUCGUAUCUAGAGUGUAAAGGCAUAAGGAAGCUUGACUGUGAGACCUACAAGUCGAGCAGGGACGAAAGUCGGUCUUAGUGAUCUGACGGUACUGAGUGGAAAGGCCGUCACUCAACGGGUAAAAGUUACUCUAAGGAUAACAGGCUGAUCUCCCCCAAGAGUUCACAUCGACGGGGAGGUUUGGCACCUCGAUGUCGGCUCAUCGCAUCCUGGGGCGGUAGUACGUCCCAAGGGUUGGGCUGUUCGCCCAUGAAAGCGGUACGCGAGCUGGGUUCAGAACGUCGUGAGACAGUUCGGUCCAUAUCCGGUGUAGGCGUUAGAAUAUUGAGAGGAGCCUUCUUUAGUACGAGAGGACCGAGAAGGACAUACCUCUGGUGUACCAGUUAUCGUGCCAACGGUAAACGCUGGGUAGCUAUGUAUGGAGUGGAUAACCGCUGAAAGCAUCUAAGUGGGAAGCCCACCUCAAGAUAAGUAUUCUCAUC
Molecule: ribosomal RNA, 1244 nt
Filed under: metagenome
Description: bacterial LSU rRNA
Rfam family: Bacterial large subunit ribosomal RNA
Source: RNAcentral